This 262-nucleotide ribosomal RNA is filed under the name uncultured bacterium. Its description in RNAcentral is "partial 16S ribosomal RNA". It matches the Rfam family "Bacterial small subunit ribosomal RNA", at positions 795 to 1052 of the family's 1533-position model. The record is from RNAcentral.
CCACGCCCUAAACGAUGUAUGCUAGUUGUUGGGCUGCUAGUCAGCUCAGUAAUGCAGCUAACGCAUUAAGCAUACCGCCUGGGGAGUACGGUCGCAAGAUUAAAACUCAAAGGAAUAGACGGGGACCCGCACAAGCGGUGGAGCAUGUGGUUUAAUUCGAAGAUACGCGAAGAACCUUACCUAGGCUUGAUAUCCAACAAAUUUUGUAGAAAUACAAAAGUGCUAGCUUGCUAGAAUGUUGAGACAGGUGCUGCACGGCUGU